UUCUUCUUCUUCUUCUUCUUCUUCUUCUACCAUUUCUUAAUAUAAUUUUCUUUUUCUUUGCUAUCCCAAUUAGAAUGGGAGAUCUCCCCUUUCCUGAUCAUCUUCUCCUCUUCUGCUUCUUUUUCGUCCUAUUCCUUCUGCCUCAGACCCAACCAACCCUCUUGAGGGAGCACCACAUUUGCCAAGAUGAUCAGAAGACUGCUCUCUUGCAAUUGCAGCAAGAGUCAUUUUCCAACACUUUGUGGAAACAAGAAACCGAUUGUUGCUCAUGGGAAAGCGUCACAUGCAACAUCACCACUGGUUACGUGAUUGGUCUUGACUUGAGUUCCAAGCUUUCAAGACCUAUCUAUUCCAACAGCAGCCUCUUCGGCCUCCAUCAUCUCCAAAGGCUCAAUCUUGCUUACAAUCAAUUUGAACAGACUCCUUUCCCAUCUGGGUUUGAUCGCCUUCCAAGAUUGACCCAUCUCAACUUCUCCGAAACCUGUUUCUCCGGCCAAGUACCCUGGGAAUUCUCACGCCUAACAAGGUUAGUUUCUCUUGAUCUCUCGAGUUGGUUAUGUUAUGAGACUACUGCUAAACUGGAAAGACCAAACCUUAAAGAGUUGAUCCAGAAUCUGACAUCUCUCACGGAACUAUACCUUGAUAGGGUAGACCUCUCUGCACAGGGAAGAGAUUGGUCUCAGGUCUUGCCGCAGUUUCUUCCCAACCUAUGCGCAUUGAGUUUGGUCUCCUGUGGUCUUUCAGGUCCCAUUCACUCUUCUUUCUCGCAGCUUGUCUUCCUUGAGGAGCUCCUACUUAGUGAAAACUAUAUUCUUUCUUUUGAAACACCUAAGUUCUUGGCCGCCAAUUUCUCUCAUUUGAAGACUCUUAGUUUGAGCUCUUGUAGAUUGCAUGGGGAGUUCCCCAACGAUUUUUUUCAUCUACCCAAUCUUCAGGUCCUUCAUGUGAAGGACAAUUCUCUCCUCAAUGGUCAAUUCCCAGAUUUUCUACAUAACAAUGCCUUUCAGGACAUAUCUCUCUCUAACACAAAUUUUUCAGGAGCGAUUCCAGAUUCUAUUGGAAAUCUCACCCACCUAACUUUUUUAGACCUUACAAUGAACCAUUUCAUUGGUUCAAUUCCAUCUUCUCUAGCAAACCUUACCCAUCUAGCCUAUUUGGACCUUUCCUAUAAUAAUUUUACAGGUUCAGUCCCUCCGUUUAAUAAAGACAAUGUCCCAAAUCUUGAACUUUUGGACUUGUCCAACAACCUUCUUGAUGGGACAAUCCAUUCUUCUUUAUUUGCACUUCCUUCAUUGCAGAUGUUACAACUCUCGUAUAAUCAGCUUGAAGGUCGACUUGAAUUGUCUCAUAAUUUAUCUAGUUCAUCAUUGGUAACUAUCGAUUUGGUUGGAAACAAAUUGAAUGGAGAAAUACCAAAAUCAUUUUCUGAAUUCUCUAGUCUUUGGGCUCUGCGUGUGAGUUCCAACAAUUUUAGUGGCACUGUAAAGCUGGACAUGUUUGGGAACCUUGAGAACCUUUUGGAUCUUGAUCUGUCAAACAACCUAUUGUCAGUUGAAGUUGGCAACAAUAGUUCUUCUUUUCAUUUCCAGCUUGUUUCGUUGAGGUUGGGAUCUUGCCACAUAAAAGAAUUCCCGGAGUUCUUGAGAACUCAAGAGUAUUUGCAGUAUUUAGACCUUUCAAACAACCAAAUCCAAGGACAUGUACCUAGUUGGAUAUGGAAGGAGGAUCUUCUUGAGGUGGAUCUUUCUUACAAUGGAAUAGUAGAUUUGGAACCUCCUUUUACGGAUCAUUCAAAUCCUUCCACUCUCAAGUCCUUAUAUUCAUUGACAUUGAUUUCUUGCAAUUUGAGAGCAAUCCCUGAAUUUUUGAAGGACCUAAAUGAACUCAUGUUUCUUGACCUUUCAAAUAACAACAUUUCUGGGAAAUUGCCGAAUUGGAUAUGGAAGGAAAGUUUAUCUGAGUUGAAUCUUUCAUACAACUCUCUAUAUGCUUUUGAGCAACCACUCCUAAAAUUUUCGUCAUGUCCAUUAAGUAGUCUUGAUCUUCGUUGGAACAAGCUACAAGGGUCUAUCCCGAUUCCAUCAUCCACUGUCAGAUUCUUUUCAAUUUCGAACAAUAGCUUUGUUGGAGGAAUCCCUGAGUCAAUAUGCAAAUUGAGUAGCCUAUUAUUGUUUGAUGCCUCUCACAAUAAUUUGAGCGGUUCUAUUCCGGAAUGUCUUGGUAACAUUCGCAGUCUCUCAGUAUUGGAUGUACACGAGAAUAGAUUUCAUGGAAUGCCUCAAAAUUUUGCAAAUGCAAGCAGCCUGAAGACACUCAACAUUAAUGGAAACAUAUUAGGAGGGCAAGUGCCUAGGUCAUUGACUAAUUGCACAUCACUAGAGGUUCUAGACCUUGGGAAGAACAAGUUAUCUGAUACCUUCCACUUCUGGUUGGGAAAAUUGCCUAGGUUGCGAGUUCUUGUACUGCAUUCCAACAGAUUCUAUGGCCCCAUCGAACACUUGGGAACCUUCAAUGAGUUCCCAUUGCUGCAAAUUAUGGAUAUCUCUUCCAAUAAAUUUGCAGGUGAUUUGCCAGCUGAAUACUUUCAAAGCUUGAGGGCAAUGAUGUUACAGAAUGGGAAUAAAACAGAAGCACAUUAUAUUGGAAAUUCCUACUACAGAGACUCAGUGACAAUCAUGAUCAAAGGGCAAGAAAUGGAGCUACUGAGGAUCAUGACCAUCUACACAGCUCUUGAUCUAUCCUGCAAUAAAUUCCAGGGGGAAAUUCCAAAAGUGAUUGGAGAGCUCACAUCACUUGUGUUUUUAAACUUGUCUCACAAUGACCUAACCGGCCAAAUCCCACCAUCGAUUGGAAACAUGGCCCAACUUGAAUCGUUGGAUCUCUCACGAAACAAGCUAUCAGGGAAAAUCCCUUGGCAAUUUACUAAUCUUACAUUCCUUGAGGUCCUGAACCUCUCUGAAAAUCAUCUUGAGGGACCUAUACCACGGAGCUCUCAGUUCGAUACAUUUUCAAACACUUCUUACAUUGAGAAUCCAGGAUUAUGUGGUUUCCCUUUAUCAAAGAAAUGUAGAAACACUAGUGAUGAUAUGCCACAACAAGGUGAGAAAUCAAAGUCAACAAAUGACUUCAAAUCUGUUUGGGAAUUCAUGUUGAUGGGUUAUGGAUGUGGAUUGGUAAUUGGGAUUGUCAUAGGACAUAUCAUUGUCAAGGAUGAGUGGCUUAUAAGAACUUUUAGAAUGGCACCAACUAGGCGACAGAGAAAUUCAAAAAGAGGAAGACUGAGGAGAGGAUGAAAAAAGGCACAUAAUGAAAUGUUACUUAUGGAGUGGAAACCUUAUCCCAAAACGAAAAGUACUUGAAAGGAGCUUUGCUAGAAAAUAAUCCAUUUCAAGGCAUGGUUGGCUGAUUGCAUGCAAACGAAGACUUGAUCUCUUAUGUGCCUGGUGCAUUGGUGUUACCAUUCCCUCUAGUAAGACAAGUGAGCCAAUGGAAGUAUUUUGGUGCCCCCCUCAAGAUGGCUGGGUUAAACUUAACACUGAUGGAUGUUUCCUGGGAAAUCUGGGCAGGGCAGGUAUAGGUGGUGUUCUUAGGAACAAUAAGGCGGAGAUCAUAUCAAACUUUAGGGAAGCAAUUGGUGUCAAAACAAAUUUUGAACUUGAAAUUUAUGCAGAAAUCUCAGGUAUAGAAAAAGCAAGAGAUUGUGAGGUUCAAAAUCUGUGGAUCGAAGUUGACUCAGUGGCAGUGGUUCUUCUUCUUCUAGAGGUCUAAUCCCAUGGUUUGUCUUCCAAAGAUGGAGAGGGCUUCAGAUCUAUUUAUAGUCAACUGUUUGGAAGAUUUCUCACUGAUUUCACGAAGGAAAUGCAGCAAAGUUGGGCACUUCAAAACCCUGUCUCAUCUUGCCUCCUUUGACUCGUAUGGCCCUUGAGCAGGACGCGAGUAUGCGUCCUCGCUAUAGAUUCUUGUAAUUUUUUGGGGUUGAUUUUCUUGGGGCUUUUUUCCUGUUGAUGGCAAUGCCGAAGGUGGGAGUCUAGCUCUGAGUUAAUCUUUGCCGUUUUAUUUCUCAUCUUUGUACAUUAUUUUUCUUCUUUCAUUUUAAUAUAAUCAGGA
Molecule: RNA transcript, 4107 nt
Organism: Macadamia integrifolia
Lineage: Eukaryota; Viridiplantae; Streptophyta; Magnoliopsida; Proteales; Proteaceae
Gene name: receptor-like protein 20
Exons: 3
Source: RefSeq, a predicted model, not a curated record